RNAcentral lists this ribosomal RNA (275 nucleotides) under uncultured Glomus. RNAcentral describes it as "partial 18S ribosomal RNA". It matches the Rfam family "Eukaryotic small subunit ribosomal RNA", at positions 548 to 829 of the family's 1831-position model. Lineage: Eukaryota; Fungi; Glomeromycota; Glomeromycetes; Glomerales; Glomeraceae. The record is from RNAcentral.
UUGGAGGGCAAGUCUGGUGCCAGCAGCCGCGGUAAUUCCAGCUCCAAUAGCGUAUAUUAAAGUUGUUGCAGUUAAAAGCUCGUAGUUGAAUUUCGGGGUUAGUAGGUUGGUCAUGCCUCUGGUAUGUACUGGUCUCACUGAUUCCUCCUUCCUUAUGAACCGUAAUGCCAUUAAUUUGGUGUUGCGGGGAAUUUGGACUGUUACUUUGAAAAAAUUAGAGUGUUUAAAGCAAGCUAACGCUUGAAUACAUUAGCAUGGAAUAAUGAAAUAGGACG